Molecule: ribosomal RNA, 373 nt
Filed under: uncultured organism
Description: partial 16S ribosomal RNA
Rfam family: Bacterial small subunit ribosomal RNA
Source: RNAcentral
GUAGAUGGCAAGCGUUGUCCGGAAUUAUUGGGCGUAAAGCGCGCGCAGGCGGUUCUUUAAGUCUGAUGUGAAAGCCCACGGCUCAACCGUGGAGGGUCAUUGGAAACUGGAGAACUUGAGUACAGAAGAGGAAAGCGGAAUUCCACGUGUAGCGGUGAAAUGCGUAGAGAUGUGGAGGAACACCAGUGGCGAAGGCGGCUUUCUGGUCUGUAACUGACGCUGAGGCGCGAAAGCGUGGGGAGCAAACAGGAUUAGAUACCCUGGUAGUCCACGCCGUAAACGAUGAGUGCUAAGUGUUAGGGGGGUUUCCGCCCCCCUUAGUGCUGCAGCUAACGCAUUAAGCACUCCGCCUGGGAGUACGGCCGCAAGGCUG